AACUAGUGCAGGCAAAUCUCACGUACCCGACUGAUAACUUGUAGCCGUUUUGUUUAUUGGUAGAGAGAGAUACGGCUGCACCUAAACUCACAAGUGCUAAUGUUGCUGCUCUCGCUGUGUGGAGUAAUGUGCCCACCUACAACAUGGCGGAGCAGCUCUCCAUCGGACGACGUGACUAGGAGGGAACGUCUGAUUGGUUCUUUGAUUUCAGUCACUGAAAUGAAUUCUCUUCCGUUAUGUCAUAGGGAGGAGACACAGGAACAGAUUCUGCAGAAGAGAGAGAUGUGUCUGUCAUACACUGUGUGUAUUCAUCUCCUACACUGAGCUGAGAUAUGAGAGGCUGUGUCCUGCUGCUGCCUGUAACUCCCUGUAACAACUCCCUGCAACUCCCUCCUCCUGUGUCCCUGACAUUCCCAUCCCCCGUACUCACAUCUCCAGCCUCAUCUACUGGAGAUGCCAGUCCUUGUCAUGGAUGUCAGACAGUCCUGAUAUGCAAUUAAUGUGGAUCACAGACGACCCUCCUGCCUCCCCACAGCAAGAGGAGCACCAACCAGUCUGAACAUGGAGUCACAUCUGUCUGGGUGCGACCCAAGAUUAGAAGUGAAAUUGGAGAAUGAGGAGUUGGACUGUAAGAAUCAUCUGAACUUGGUGACUUGUGAAAUGGGUCCCCCUUUUAUUAAUGGCUUUGCUCUCUCUGAGCCACGAACUGUACAGAUAAAGACUGAGACUGAGGAACUGCACAAUGAACAUCAUCUGAACCAAGUGGAGAGCUCAACAGUUCCACUUACUGAUGGGGAAUUUGUUCCAAAAGUAAAGAUGGAGAAUACAGAGUCGGCCUUUAAGGAACAUGAAGUCACGGCAGAGAGGGAAAUGGAUUCAGUUUCUACAGUAGGUUUCCCAGUGACUGAACCAGGAGCAAUGCAGAUAAAGACAGAGAAAGAAGAAGCAGAGUGUGAAGAUCAUCAGGACCCAAUGGAAAGUGCAGCAGUUCCACUUACUGACGGGGGGCAAUUCAUGGCUUCCAGUCAGACCCCUGAGAGGUCCGUGGCAAGCAGAACACUUGAGAGGGAUGUGCCCCCAGAAGUGGCUCCUGAUACAGGCAGUCUCCUGAGACAGAGCAUGAUGCUGCUGGGAGAGGAAUCCUUCCCGUUACGGCCGCACUCUAACGAGCAGCGCUCCAGUCUCUGCACCUUUGACUCCGCCUCUGUUCACUGCCAGGACUGCGUGGAGCACAAGCGACUGAUCAGAGAACUACAGGAGCAGCUGGAGUUUCUCAGAGGCACAGUCUCAGAAACGGUCAAAUCAGCUGUAUCGGAGGCAGUGACUGCAGCCACAGAGGCUCUGACGCAUUCCAUGCGGGACAUUGUGAGAGAUGCCGUGGCUCAGGCCAUGACUAAUAACAUCAAGAAGGAAGCAGCAAAUCAAAGCCAAGUCCCUGAGUGUGAAUGCCCAGCCGCCCCCUUACCUCCAACACCUAAAAACAGUGAUGGGGAUGAGAUGGUCACUGUCACCCCCCCUCCUGCUAGUGAUGUCAGCAAAGCAGAGAAGAGCUGGCACUCGAGUUAUAAGAGCAACUCAUUCCCUGGCACCAAGAGCAGCUCACCAUCAACGUCAGGGGCCGGCAACUGGAAAAUAGGGGAGCAGCUGCCGGACAUUGUCCUGGCCCCUUUGUCUAAAAAAACCCUCACCUACCUAGCCCGCCGCGCAAACAACGAAUGCCACCGAUUUGCACAAAUGAUUUUCCAGCACCAUGUCCCCUUCCCUCUGUACCAACAAUGGGCCAAGCAUGUCAAUAUCGACGGCUCCCGGGGGAAGAAGGCCCUACCCCGAAAUCUAAUGCGGGAUAUUAUGCUCCAGACAGAGGCCAAGUUCCGCCUCACCGACCAGGACCGUAAAAAAGUCAAGGACACCAUCAAUGCCCUGCUGAGAAUGCCCAGGGGCGCCAGCUGGAUCUCAGGGCCGGACAGUUUAAAUUAAAUGAAAUUGGACUUGGGGGUAGAGCACUGCCCUUUUUAUUGGCUCUUUUAAGGUGAGAACUGCACUCAACAAGAAAUACACCGGCCAUUUAUAUUGGGAUCUAUUUAUGGAAUUGUAUCGGCUAUUACCGACAUCAACGUCUCAGCAGUGGAAUGAUUCGUUGUUGGGCCCCUAAACACAGGCAAUUUAUUUAACUCAUGGAAAAACAAUGGAAUAAAUAUGUUCCAUAUCCUUUAGCCAACGGAUCGUAUAUCCCAUGUACUCGGGUACAUUCACUUACAAAGGCAAAGAGAGCAAAGAAAGAUUCAGAAUGGGGGAGUCUAGGGGCUGCCAUCUCAGGGGCCUGCGCCUCCUCCUGCGCCUCCUCCUGCAACCUACUUCCGCACUUGGGCCUCCUGCCCUAGCCGCAAACUCCAGUACCUUAGUUUAUCUUGUUACAGCCACAAUUGGGUCCGGGGGGAAGAUAAGGGUACAGCGCCCAGGGUGGGGAGAAGAUCUGGGUCUAUCGGGGCUACAGUGUGUCCUGCCGGCUAGUCUGACCCUGAUAAUUCUCUUGGCUCAAUUGCAGCACCCCGAGAACCCAUAGCAGGAUGGCACAGUGGCAAUUCCAUAUCUAAAUACCCCCAGUGACAGAUACUUACAGGGAAAGAAGCAACAGGUGAGAAAGAAGCAGAGGUAACAAUGAGUGAAAAUAUACUGCAUGUACCAAUACUGCAGGGGAUGCUGUGGAUUUUGGAGCAGGACUGGGGAAGCCACUAGGUAAGACCAGGCAGACAAGACUUCUCUGUUGCAGAGACUGACAUGGCUAUGGCUGUAACACUUCAUGGCAGCAACUUGUUAACCUCUAUAUAUGAAGAAUCAGCCCGCUUCUGUAGGCUUCUUCUGUAGGCCGUUUCUGUAGGCUUCUUCUGUAGGCUGCUUC
This is an RNA transcript of Xenopus laevis (African clawed frog), 2899 nucleotides long. It is a transcript of the gene named protein Pat-like, with no coding region annotated. The record is from RefSeq and is a predicted model, not a curated record. The transcript is spliced from 8 exons. Lineage: Eukaryota; Metazoa; Chordata; Amphibia; Anura; Pipidae.